AUAUUUCACAAUGGGCGCAAGCCUGAUGCAGCCAUGCCGCGUGUAUGAAGAAGGCCUUCGGGUUGUAAAGUACUUUCAGCGAGGAGGAAGGCAUUGUGGUUAAUAACCACAGUGUUUGACGUUACUCGCAGAAGAAGCACCGGCUAACUCCGUGCCAGCAGCCGCGGUAAUACGGUGGGUGCAAGCGUUAAUCGGAAUUACUGGGCGUAAAGCGAACGCAGGCGGUUUGUUAAGUCAGAUGUGAAAUCCCCGGGCUCAACCUGGGAACUGCAGUUGAAACUGGCAAGCUUGAGUCUCGUAGAGGGGGGUAGAAUUCCAGGUGUAGAGGUGAAAUGCGUAGAGAUCUGGAGGAAUACCGGUGGCGAAGGCGGCCCCCUGGACAAAGACUGACGCUCAGGUGCGAAAGCGUGGGGAGCAAAC
This 420-nucleotide ribosomal RNA is filed under the name uncultured bacterium. RNAcentral's name for it is "bacterial SSU rRNA". It matches the Rfam family "Bacterial small subunit ribosomal RNA", at positions 361 to 773 of the family's 1533-position model. The record is from RNAcentral.